Molecule: ribosomal RNA, 468 nt
Filed under: uncultured bacterium
Lineage: Bacteria
Description: partial 16S ribosomal RNA
Rfam family: Bacterial small subunit ribosomal RNA
Source: RNAcentral
GACGAACGCUGGCGGCGUGCUUAACACAUGCAAGUCGAACGGAAAGGCCCUGCUUCUGUGGGGUGCUCGAGUGGCGAACGGGUGAGUAACACGUGAGUAACCUGCCCUUGACUUUGGGAUAACUUCAGGAAACUGGGGCUAAUACCGGAUAGGAGCUCCUGCUGCAUGGUGGGGGUUGGAAAGUUUCGGCGGUUGGGGAUGGACUCGCGGCUUAUCAGCUUGUUGGUGGGGUAGUGGCUUACCAAGGCUUUGACGGGUAGCCGGCCUGAGAGGGUUACCGGCCACAUUGGGACUGAGAUACGGACCAGAAUCCUACGGGAGGCAGCAGUGGGGAAUAUUGCAAAAUGGGCGGAAGCCUGAUGCAGCAACGCCGCGUGCGGGAUGACGGCCUUCGGGUUGUAAACCGCUUUCGCCUGUGACGAAGCGUGAGUGACGGUAAUGGGUAAAGAAGCACCGGCUAACUACGUG